GACGAACGCUGGCGGCGUGCCUAACACAUGCAAGUCGAGCGGGACAGUUAAUCAGCUUGCCGAUUAACUGUUUAGCGGCGGACGGGUGAGUAACACGUGGGCAACCUGCCCUAUACAGGGGGAUAGCCAACCGAAAGGUUGAAUAAUACCGCAUAAUUACAGCAUAACGCAUGUCAUGCUGUAAAAAGGAUUCCUUUCCGAGAGGAAAGGCAUCCGGUAUAGGAUGGGCCCGCGUCCCAUUAGUUAGUUGGUGAGGUAGCGGCUCACCAAGGCAGCGAUGGGUAGCCGAUCUGAGAGGAUGACCGGCCACAUUGGAACUGAGAGACGGUCCAGACUCCUACGGGAGGCAGCAGUGGGGAAUAUUGCGCAAUGGGGGAAACCCCGACGCAGCAACGCCGCGUGAGUGAAGAAGGUCUUCGGAUUGUAAAGCUCUGUCUUUGGGGACGAAAGAAAUGACGGUACCCAAGGAGGAAGCCACGGCUAACUACGUGCCAGCAGCCGCGGUAAUACGUAGGUGGCAAGCGUUGUCCGGAAUUACUGGGCGUAAAGGGUGCGUAGGCGGUUAAUUAAGUCAGAUGUGAAAUUCCGGGGCUCAACUUCGGAAUUGCAUUUGAAACUAGUUGGCUAGAGUGCAGGAGAGGGAAGCGGAAUUCCUAGUGUAGCGGUGAAAUGCGUAGAUAUUA
RNAcentral lists this ribosomal RNA (683 nucleotides) under uncultured Caryophanales bacterium. RNAcentral describes it as "bacterial SSU rRNA". It matches the Rfam family "Bacterial small subunit ribosomal RNA", at positions 28 to 699 of the family's 1533-position model. Lineage: Bacteria; Bacillati; Bacillota; Bacilli; Caryophanales. The record is from RNAcentral.